Molecule: long non-coding RNA, 534 nt
Organism: Anguilla anguilla (European eel)
Lineage: Eukaryota; Metazoa; Chordata; Actinopteri; Anguilliformes; Anguillidae
Exons: 2
Source: RefSeq, a predicted model, not a curated record
ACUACUCCCGAAUCCUUUCGCGUGCAGCACUCCGGCUCGACAAAAAUGGCAGCCACACAGCGCUAGUGUGGAUGACCCGUGCGAUGGCGUGGGUAUAAUCAUACAAGAACCCACCAAAACGACCAACAGCGUUUUUCACCCGGCUGCCAAUAAUUUCGCCAAAAAACGUAGAGCGGUUUCCGCAAACCGACUGCGAGCUGAAUACUGAGAUGUGUGACAAUACAAAAACUUCAUGAAAGCCUGUUCAGAGGUAAGACCAGCUUGCCAACCUUUCAGUCUCUCAGCUGAGGUUUUCAUGGCAAAACACAAGUAACGACAUCACACAUACACUAUACAUUUAUGUUCCUUUUCAUCGCAGUGCAGAAGUUAGCGUGCCCCAGGGACAAUUUGCUGCCCCUGAUAGGCAAACACAACCUGGCACACUUCAUCACUUCCCUCAAACAUUCCCAUUUUUGAAACAUUUUUCUAGCGCAUUUUAGUGUAAACCUUAUUUCAUAUCAUCAUUGGGAUAAAGUACCAGUGAGACCCCACAAA